CAGGGAAUCUUGCACAAUGGGCGAAAGCCUGAUGCAGCGACGCCGCGUGGGGGAUGAAGGCCUUAGGGUCGUAAACCCCUUUCAGCAGGGACGAAAAUGACGGUACCUGCAGAAGAAGCCCCGGCCAACUACGUGCCAGCAGCCGCGGUAAGACGUAGGGGGCGAGCGUUGUCCGGAUUUAUUGGGCGUAAAGAGCUCGUAGGCGGUUGCGUAAGUCGGAUGUGAAAACUCAGGGCUCAACCCUGAGACGCCAUCCGAUACUGCGCUGACUUGAAUCCAGUAGGGGAGUGUGGAAUUCCUGGUGUAGCGGUGAAAUGCGCAGAUAUCAGGAGGAACACCCAUGGCGAAGGCAGCACUCUGGGCUGGUAUUGACGCUGAGGAGCGAAAGCAUGGGUAGCGAACAGGAUUAGAUACCCCCGUAGUCCCUGAGCGGGCUGGCAAGGCGCAU
This 448-nucleotide ribosomal RNA is filed under the name uncultured bacterium. RNAcentral describes it as "bacterial SSU rRNA". It matches the Rfam family "Bacterial small subunit ribosomal RNA", at positions 355 to 825 of the family's 1533-position model. The record is from RNAcentral.